UACGUAGGGCGCAAGCGUUGUCCGGAAUUAUUGGGCGUAAAGAGCUUGUAGGCGGUUUGUCGCGUCUGCUGUGAAAUUUCGGGGCUCAACCCCGAACUUGCAGUGGGUACGGGCAGACUAGAGUGUGGUAGGGGAGACUGGAAUUCCUGGUGUAGCGGUGAAAUGCGCAGAUAUCAGGAGGAACACCGAUGGCGAAGGCAGGUCUCUGGGCCACUACUGACGCUGAGAAGCGAAAGCAUGGGGAGCGAACAGG
RNAcentral lists this ribosomal RNA (253 nucleotides) under uncultured bacterium. RNAcentral's name for it is "partial 16S ribosomal RNA". It matches the Rfam family "Bacterial small subunit ribosomal RNA", at positions 524 to 776 of the family's 1533-position model. The record is from RNAcentral.